RNAcentral lists this transfer RNA (74 nucleotides) under Salmonella phage SE131. It matches the Rfam family "tRNA". From Rfam's summary of the family: Transfer RNA (tRNA) molecules are approximately 80 nucleotides in length. Their secondary structure includes four short double-helical elements and three loops (D, anti-codon, and T loops). RNAcentral also lists the same sequence under 1 other name. Lineage: Duplodnaviria; Heunggongvirae; Uroviricota; Caudoviricetes; Grimontviridae. The record is from Rfam by way of RNAcentral.
GUUUCCAUAGCUUAAUUGGAUAGAGCAACAGCCUUCUAAGCUGUCGGUUGAAGGUUCGAAUCCUUCUGGGAACG